GUUAAUCUGGAUUAGUCUCAGAGCCCCUUAACCAGUCCUCCUAUCUCUAGGAUUGCCCUCAUUUUAUUUACUCUUUAUUUUUACUAGAGGGAACUUUUCUAAACCAAGGGCUAACUAACUAUGCUACUGUCUGUAUUUAAAUGCUUGUCAGUGACCCAGUGGCUUGCCAGGUCAUCAGAAUCUAGUCCCUAAUCUUUAGUAAAGCUUUGC
This 210-nucleotide long non-coding RNA is filed under the name Homo sapiens (human). Its description in RNAcentral is "HSALNT0130081". The record is from RNAcentral. Lineage: Eukaryota; Metazoa; Chordata; Mammalia; Primates; Hominidae.